UACGGGGGGGGCAAGCGUUGUUCGGAAUUACUGGGCGUAAAGGGCUCGUAGGCGGCCAACUAAGUCAGACGUGAAAUCCCUCGGCUUAACCGGGGAACUGCGUCUGAUACUGGAUGGCUUGAGUUCGGGAGAGGGAUGCGGAAUUCCAGGUGUAGCGGUGAAAUGCGUAGAUAUCUGGAGGAACACCGGUGGCGAAGGCGGCAUCCUGGACCAAUACUGACGCUGAGGAGCGAAAGCUAGGGGAGCAAACGGG
RNAcentral lists this ribosomal RNA (253 nucleotides) under uncultured bacterium. Its description in RNAcentral is "partial 16S ribosomal RNA". It matches the Rfam family "Bacterial small subunit ribosomal RNA", at positions 524 to 776 of the family's 1533-position model. The record is from RNAcentral.